RNAcentral lists this ribosomal RNA (2713 nucleotides) under Staphylococcus aureus. RNAcentral's name for it is "bacterial LSU rRNA". It matches the Rfam family "Bacterial large subunit ribosomal RNA". The record is from RNAcentral. Lineage: Bacteria; Bacillati; Bacillota; Bacilli; Caryophanales; Staphylococcaceae.
CCCGGAGGAAGAGAAAGAAAAUUCGAUUCCCUUAGUAGCGGCGAGCGAAAUGGGAAGAGCCCAAACCAACAAGCUUGCUUGUUGGGGUUGUAGGACACUCUAUACGGAGUUACAAAGGACGACAUUAGACGAAUCAUCUGGAAAGAUGAAUCAAAGAAGGUAAUAAUCCUGUAGUCGAAAAUGUUGUCUCUCUUGAGUGGAUCCUGAGUACGACGGAGCACGUGAAAUUCCGUCGGAAUCUGGGAGGACCAUCUCCUAAGGCUAAAUACUCUCUAGUGACCGAUAGUGAACCAGUACCGUGAGGGAAAGGUGAAAAGCACCCCGGAAGGGGAGUGAAAUAGAACCUGAAACCGUGUGCUUACAAGUAGUCAGAGCCCGUUAAUGGGUGAUGGCGUGCCUUUUGUAGAAUGAACCGGCGAGUUACGAUUUGAUGCAAGGUUAAGCAGUAAAUGUGGAGCCGUAGCGAAAGCGAGUCUGAAUAGGGCGUUUAGUAUUUGGUCGUAGACCCGAAACCAGGUGAUCUACCCUUGGUCAGGUUGAAGUUCAGGUAACACUGAAUGGAGGACCGAACCGACUUACGUUGAAAAGUGAGCGGAUGAACUGAGGGUAGCGGAGAAAUUCCAAUCGAACCUGGAGAUAGCUGGUUCUCUCCGAAAUAGCUUUAGGGCUAGCCUCAAGUGAUGAUUAUUGGAGGUAGAGCACUGUUUGGACGAGGGGCCCCUCUCGGGUUACCGAAUUCAGACAAACUCCGAAUGCCAAUUAAUUUAACUUGGGAGUCAGAACAUGGGUGAUAAGGUCCGUGUUCGAAAGGGAAACAGCCCAGACCACCAGCUAAGGUCCCAAAAUAUAUGUUAAGUGGAAAAGGAUGUGGCGUUGCCCAGACAACUAGGAUGUUGGCUUAGAAGCAGCCAUCAUUUAAAGAGUGCGUAAUAGCUCACUAGUCGAGUGACACUGCGCCGAAAAUGUACCGGGGCUAAACAUAUUACCGAAGCUGUGGAUUGUCCUUUGGACAAUGGUAGGAGAGCGUUCUAAGGGCGUUGAAGCAUGAUCGUAAGGACAUGUGGAGCGCUUAGAAGUGAGAAUGCCGGUGUGAGUAGCGAAAGACGGGUGAGAAUCCCGUCCACCGAUUGACUAAGGUUUCCAGAGGAAGGCUCGUCCGCUCUGGGUUAGUCGGGUCCUAAGCUGAGGCCGACAGGCGUAGGCGAUGGAUAACAGGUUGAUAUUCCUGUACCACCUAUAAUCGUUUUAAUCGAUGGGGGGACGCAGUAGGAUAGGCGAAGCGUGCGAUUGGAUUGCACGUCUAAGCAGUAAGGCUGAGUAUUAGGCAAAUCCGGUACUCGUUAAGGCUGAGCUGUGAUGGGGAGAAGACAUUGUGUCUUCGAGUCGUUGAUUUCACACUGCCGAGAAAAGCCUCUAGAUAGAAAAUAGGUGCCCGUACCGCAAACCGACACAGGUAGUCAAGAUGAGAAUUCUAAGGUGAGCGAGCGAACUCUCGUUAAGGAACUCGGCAAAAUGACCCCGUAACUUCGGGAGAAGGGGUGCUCUUUAGGGUUAACGCCCAGAAGAGCCGCAGUGAAUAGGCCCAAGCGACUGUUUAUCAAAAACACAGGUCUCUGCUAAACCGUAAGGUGAUGUAUAGGGGCUGACGCCUGCCCGGUGCUGGAAGGUUAAGAGGAGUGGUUAGCUUCUGCGAAGCUACGAAUCGAAGCCCCAGUAAACGGCGGCCGUAACUAUAACGGUCCUAAGGUAGCGAAAUUCCUUGUCGGGUAAGUUCCGACCCGCACGAAAGGCGUAACGAUUUGGGCACUGUCUCAACGAGAGACUCGGUGAAAUCAUAGUACCUGUGAAGAUGCAGGUUACCCGCGACAGGACGGAAAGACCCCGUGGAGCUUUACUGUAGCCUGAUAUUGAAAUUCGGCACAGCUUGUACAGGAUAGGUAGGAGCCUUUGAAACGUGAGCGCUAGCUUACGUGGAGGCGCUGGUGGGAUACUACCCUAGCUGUGUUGGCUUUCUAACCCGCACCACUUAUCGUGGUGGGAGACAGUGUCAGGCGGGCAGUUUGACUGGGGCGGUCGCCUCCUAAAAGGUAACGGAGGCGCUCAAAGGUUCCCUCAGAAUGGUUGGAAAUCAUUCAUAGAGUGUAAAGGCAUAAGGGAGCUUGACUGCGAGACCUACAAGUCGAGCAGGGUCGAAAGACGGACUUAGUGAUCCGGUGGUUCCGCAUGGAAGGGCCAUCGCUCAACGGAUAAAAGCUACCCCGGGGAUAACAGGCUUAUCUCCCCCAAGAGUUCACAUCGACGGGGAGGUUUGGCACCUCGAUGUCGGCUCAUCGCAUCCUGGGGCUGUAGUCGGUCCCAAGGGUUGGGCUGUUCGCCCAUUAAAGCGGUACGCGAGCUGGGUUCAGAACGUCGUGAGACAGUUCGGUCCCUAUCCGUCGUGGGCGUAGGAAAUUUGAGAGGAGCUGUCCUUAGUACGAGAGGACCGGGAUGGACAUACCUCUGGUGUACCAGUUGUCGUGCCAACGGCAUAGCUGGGUAGCUAUGUGUGGACGGGAUAAGUGCUGAAAGCAUCUAAGCAUGAAGCCCCCCUCAAGAUGAGAUUUCCCAACUUCGGUUAUAAGAUCCCUCAAAGAUGAUGAGGUUAAUAGGUUCGAGGUGGAAGCAUGGUGACAUGUGGAGCUGACGAAUACUAAUCGAUCGAAGACUUAAUCAA